UCUCCGUAGGUGAACCUGCGGAGGGAUCAUUAACACGUUCCAAACCCAAACUACUAUCAACCCAACUGUGAUGCUUUGUAUCUGCCGACGGUCGCCUCGAGCUCGACGGUGCGAGCUGAGAUCCAGGAUGAAGGUGAAGGGGAAGAGAGCGAUUCGCUCUCUCCUUUUCAUACGGGUCGAGUCCGCUCUAUGGUGGCCUUCCCUCUGUCUCUCUCUCCCAGUGUGUGAGGUGAGAGGCAGAGGAGCUGCCAGCCGUCCUCGGGGAUGACUUGGCCCAACCUCUAUACCAACAGCCGCGAUUCAUCGGCUGCUGCACGUAUAUCCACACGCCACUUUUUUCUGUUCAAACUCAUGUGCGGGUAUACACAUGCCUGCCACAGGGUGAGGAUGUGAAAAAAUGACUCUAACCUUUUUCAUGACCUCCGCCUCUGUGUGGUGGUCUCUCUCACUGACCUCUGUCUCGUAUAUGUCAGUGUAGUCUAUGAAACUGAGUACAACUCUUAGCAAUGGAUAUCUUGGUUCUC
This 524-nucleotide unclassified non-coding RNA is filed under the name plant metagenome. Its description in RNAcentral is "partial contains small subunit ribosomal RNA, internal transcribed spacer 1, and 5.8S ribosomal RNA". The record is from RNAcentral.